RNAcentral lists this ribosomal RNA (250 nucleotides) under uncultured bacterium. RNAcentral's name for it is "partial 16S ribosomal RNA". It matches the Rfam family "Bacterial small subunit ribosomal RNA", at positions 524 to 772 of the family's 1533-position model. The record is from RNAcentral.
UACGUAGGGUCCAAGCGUUGUCCGGAUUUAUUGGGCGUAAAGAGCUCGUAGGCGGUUCGGUAAGUCGGAUGUGAAAACUCAGGGCUCAACCCGGAGACGCCAUCCGAUACUGCCGUGACUGGAGUCUGGUAGGGGAUCACGGAAUACCUGGUGUAGCGGUGAAAUGCGCAGAUAUCAGGUGGAACACCGAUGGCGAAGGCAGUGAUCUGGGCCAGUACUGACGCUGAGGAGCGAAAGCGUGGGGAGCAAA